RNAcentral lists this ribosomal RNA (613 nucleotides) under Salmonella enterica subsp. enterica serovar Senftenberg. Its description in RNAcentral is "partial 23S ribosomal RNA". It matches the Rfam family "Bacterial large subunit ribosomal RNA", at positions 659 to 1269 of the family's 2925-position model. The record is from RNAcentral. RNAcentral also lists the same sequence under 2 other names. Lineage: Bacteria; Pseudomonadati; Pseudomonadota; Gammaproteobacteria; Enterobacterales; Enterobacteriaceae.
AGGGGAGCCGGAGGGAAACCGAGUCUUAAUUGGGCGUUAAGUUGCAGGGUAUAGACCCGAAACCCGGUGAUCUAGCCAUGGGCAGGUUGAAGGUUGGGUAACACUAACUGGAGGACCGAACCGACUAAUGUUGAAAAAUUAGCGGAUGACCUGUGGCUGGGGGUGAAAGGCCAAUCAAACCGGGAGAUAGCUGGUUCUCCCCGAAAGCUAUUUAGGUAGCGCCUCGUGAAUUCAUCUCCGGGGGUAGAGCACUGUUUCGGCUAGGGGGCCAUCCCGGCUUACCAACCCGAUGCAAACUGCGAAUACCGGAGAAUGUUAUCACGGGAGACACACGGCGGGUGCUAACGUCCGUCGUGAAGAGGGAAACAACCCAGACCGCCAGCUAAGGUCCCAAAGUCAUGGUUAAGUGGGAAACGAUGUGGGAAGGCCCAGACAGCCAGGAUGUUGGCUUAGAAGCAGCCAUCAUUUAAAGAAAGCGUAAUAGCUCACUGGUCGAGUCGGCCUGCGCGGAAGAUGUAACGGGGCUAAACCAUGCACCGAAGCUGCGGCAGCGACACUGUGUGUUGUUGGGUAGGGGAGCGUUCUGUAAGCCUGUGAAGGUGUGUCGUGAGGC